UGGCUCAGGACGAACGCUGGCGGCGUGCCUAAUACAUGCAAGUAGAACGCUGAAGGAGGAGCUUGCUUCUCCGGAUGAGUUGCGAACGGGUGAGUAACGCGUAGGUAACCUGCCUGGUAGCGGGGGAUAACUAUUGGAAACGAUAGCUAAUACCGCAUAAUAGCAGUUGUUGCAUGACAGCUGUUUGAAAGGUGCAAUUGCACCACUACCAGAUGGACCUGCGUUGUAUUAGCUAGUUGGUGGGGUAACGGCUCACCAAGGCGACGAUACAUAGCCGACCUGAGAGGGUGAUCGGCCACACUGGGACUGAGACACGGCCCAGACUCCUACGGGAGGCAGCAGUAGGGAAUCUUCCGCAAUGGGCGAAAGCCUGACGGAGCAACGCCGCGUGAGUGAAGAAGGAUUUCGGUUCGUAAAGCUCUGUUGUUAGGGAAGAAUGAUUGUGUAGUAACUAUACACAGUAGAGACGGUACCUAACCAGAAAGCCACGGCUAACUACGUGCCAGCAGCCGCGGUAAUACGUAGGUGGCAAGCGUUGUCCGGAAUUAUUGGGCGUAAAGCGCGCGCAGGUGGUUUAAUAAGUCUGAUGUGAAAGCCCACGGCUCAACCGUGGAGGGUCAUUGGAAACUGUUAAACUUGAGUGCAGGAGAGAAAAGUGGAAUUCCUAGUGUAGCGGUGAAAUGCGUAGAUAUUAGGAAGAACACCGGUGGCGAAAGGCGACUUUCUGGACGAAAACUGACGCUGAGGCGCGAAAGCCAGGGGAGCGAACGGUAUUAGAUACCCC
Molecule: ribosomal RNA, 784 nt
Filed under: uncultured bacterium
Lineage: Bacteria
Description: bacterial SSU rRNA
Rfam family: Bacterial small subunit ribosomal RNA
Source: RNAcentral